This 605-nucleotide small RNA is filed under the name Pan troglodytes (chimpanzee). Its description in RNAcentral is "processed transcript". The record is from RNAcentral. Lineage: Eukaryota; Metazoa; Chordata; Mammalia; Primates; Hominidae.
GGCCGACGUGCCUGAGAAGCCCAGUAUCAGUGCUUGGUAGAAGGCUGCACAGAGAAGUUCAAGACCAGCAGAGACCGGAAGGAUCACAUGGUGAGGAUGCACCUGUACCCCGCGGACUUCCGGUUUGAUAAGCCAAAGAAAAGCAGAAGCCCAGCCUCAGCAGAAGCCCCAGGGGACAGUGGAGAGCGGUCAGAAGGGGAGGCCAUGGAAAUCUGCUCUGAGCCUGUGGCGGCCUCCCCUGCACCGGCAGGUGAGAGGCGGAUCUGCAGACAUAGAAUACCCUCUACCAUCUGCUUUGGUCAGGGUGCCGCUCGAGGAUUUAAAAGCAACAAGAAGAAAACCAAACAAUGCUGAUAGACUCAGAAAAGGAGUGGGGGGCAGUCACCACUGCUGGGCGUGGCAUCCGCCUUGGGCCUUUCUCCGACCUUCUGGUGUGGCCGCCCUGGGGGCCAGGCCCUCGCCAUCCUCCCCGUCCUUGUCCCUCAGCAAAUGGCAUCAGCAGCUGUCAUCAGAAGCUGUGAGGGACCCACAGAUUUUGGAAACGACCUGGACACACUAUUGGGAAGGAGAUGUGGACGGCCUGUCUCCUCCUGCAGGGCCCACCC